Molecule: ribosomal RNA, 420 nt
Filed under: uncultured bacterium
Lineage: Bacteria
Description: bacterial SSU rRNA
Rfam family: Bacterial small subunit ribosomal RNA
Source: RNAcentral
GGCGACCGGCGCACGGGUGAGUAACACGUAUCCAACCUCCGUUUACUCAGGGAUAGCCUUUCGAAAGAAAGAUUAAUACCUGAUAGUAUGGUGAGAUUGCAUGAUUAGCACCAUUUAAAGAUUUAUUGGUAAACGAUGGGGAUGCGUUCCAUUAGGUAGUAGGCGGGGUUAACGGCCACCUAGCCUGCGAUGGAUAGGGGUUCUGAGAGGAAGGUCCCCCACAUUGGAACUGAGACACGGUCCAAACUCCUACGGGAGGCAGCAAUGAGGAAUAUUGGUCAAUGGGCGAGAGCCUGAACCAGCCAAGUAGCGUGAAGGAUGAAGGUCCUACGGAUUGUAAACUUCUUUUAUAAGGGAAUAAAACCUCCCACGUGUGGGAGCUUGUAUGUACCUUAUGAAUAAGCAUCGGCUAACUCCGUG